GGUAACCUGCCCAGAAGCGGGGGACAACAUUUGGAAACAGAUGCUAAUACCGCAUAACAACGUUGUUCGCAUGAACAACGCUUAAAAGAUGGCUUCUCGCUAUCACUUCUGGAUGGACCUGCGGUGCAUUAGCUUGUUGGUGGGGUAACGGCCUACCAAGGCGAUGAUGCAUAGCCGAGUUGAGAGACUGAUCGGCCACAAUGGGACUGAGACACGGCCCAUACUCCUACGGGAGGCAGCAGUAGGGAAUCUUCCACAAUGGGCGCAAGCCUGAUGGAGCAACACCGCGUGAGUGAAGAAGGGUUUCGGCUCGUAAAGCUCUGUUGUUAAAGAAGAACACGUAUGAGAGUAACUGUUCAUACGUUGACGGUAUUUAACCAGAAAGUCACGGCUAACUACGUGCCAGCAGCCGCGGUAAUACGUAGGUGGCAAGCGUUAUCCGGAUUUAUUGGGCGUAAAGAGAGUGCAGGCGGUUUUCUAAGUCUGAUGUGAAAGCCUUCGGCUUAACCGGAGAAGUGCAUCGGAAACUGGAUAACUUGAGUGCAGAAGAGGGUAGUGGAACUCCAUGUGUAGCGGUGGAAUGCGUAGAUAUAUGGAAGAACACCAGUGGCGAAGGCGGCUACCUGGUCUGCAACUGACGCUGAGACUCGAAAGCAUGGGUAGCGAACAGGAUUAGAUACCCUGGUAGUCCAUGCCGUAAACGAUGAGUGCUAGGUGUUGGAGGGUUUCCGCCCUUCAGUGCCGGAGCUAACGCAUUAAGCACUCCGCCUGGGGAGUACGACCGCAAGGUUGAAACUCAAAGGAAUUGACGGGGGCCCGCACAAGCGGUGGAGCAUGUGGUUUAAUUCGAAGCUACGCGAAGAACCUUACCAGGUCUUGACAUCUUGCGCCAACCCUAGAGAUAGGGCGUUUCCUUCGGGAACGCAAUGACAGGUGGUGCAUGGUCGUCGUCAGCUCGUGUCGUGAGAUGUUGGGUUAAGUCCCGCAACGAGCGCAACCCUUGUUACUAGUUGCCAGCAUUAAGUUGGGCACUCUAGUGAGACUGCCGGUGACAAACCGGAGGAAGGUGGGGACGACGUCAGAUCAUCAUGCCCCUUAUGACCUGGGCUACACACGUGCUACAAUGGACGGUACAACGAGUCGCGAACUCGCGAGGGCAAGCAAAUCUCUUAAAACCGUUCUCAGUUCGGACUGCAGGCUGCAACUCGCCUGCA
This 1214-nucleotide ribosomal RNA is filed under the name Limosilactobacillus fermentum. RNAcentral's name for it is "bacterial SSU rRNA". It matches the Rfam family "Bacterial small subunit ribosomal RNA", at positions 120 to 1320 of the family's 1533-position model. The record is from RNAcentral. Lineage: Bacteria; Bacillati; Bacillota; Bacilli; Lactobacillales; Lactobacillaceae.